Molecule: ribosomal RNA, 308 nt
Filed under: uncultured eukaryote
Lineage: Eukaryota
Description: partial 18S ribosomal RNA
Rfam family: Eukaryotic small subunit ribosomal RNA
Source: RNAcentral
CCCUUAGACGUUCUGGGCCGCACGCGCGCUACACUGACGAAGGCAACGAGCUUUCCUUUACCGAAAGGUACGGGUAAUCUUUUGAAACUUCGUCGUGCUGGGGAUAGAUCCUUGCAAUUUUUGAUCUUAAACGAGGAAUGCCUAGUAAGCGCAAGUCAUCAACUUGCGUUGAUUACGUCCCUGCCCUUUGUACACACCGCCCGUCGCUACUACCGAUUGAAUGGUUUAGUGAGGCCUUCGGAUCCGCGACUCGUUUUGUGGAGAAGUUGGACAAACUCAGUCAUUUAGAGGAAGUAAAAGUCGUAACA